This 253-nucleotide ribosomal RNA is filed under the name uncultured bacterium. RNAcentral describes it as "partial 16S ribosomal RNA". It matches the Rfam family "Bacterial small subunit ribosomal RNA", at positions 524 to 776 of the family's 1533-position model. The record is from RNAcentral.
UACGUAGGUGGCAAGCGUUGUCCGGAUUUACUGGGCGUAAAGAGCGCGCAGGCGGUCGUUCAAGUCGCGUGUGAAAGCCCCCGGCUCAACUGGGGAGGGUCACGCGAUACUGAUCGACUCGAAGGCAGGAGAGGGUAGUGGAAUUCCCGGUGUAGUGGUGAAAUGCGUAGAUAUCUGGAGGAACACCGGUGGCGAAGGCGGCAUCCUGGACCAAUAUUGACGCUGAGGAGCGAAAGCCAGGGGAGCAAACGGG